Molecule: long non-coding RNA, 532 nt
Organism: Eufriesea mexicana
Lineage: Eukaryota; Metazoa; Arthropoda; Insecta; Hymenoptera; Apidae
Exons: 3
Source: RefSeq, a predicted model, not a curated record
AGCUAUAUUCGAUUGAAAUCAGCCGAUUGUUGGACGAUCGCCUUUCUUAUCGUUCCCAAUCUUCACCUAAUGGAUAUUGUACGAGUUGUAGGCAUCGCGUGUCUACCACUAGAAAGGGGAAUUUAUAUUUAUUGUCGAUAUGUCUUGUAAUUUUCUUUACAUUAAUUAUAAAUUAAUGCAAGUAAAUUGAUAUUGAACUUCUCACGGUAAGAAAGUAAUUGUACGAGUAAAGACACACUGCAUUACCUUUGAUUUUAAGCAUCCAAAACCGUGAAAUCAUUGGUCAGUGAUUUUCAUUGGGGCAACAAUUUUUACUGAACCGGAAGUAACACGCAAGAAUUGUGCUUCCGGUGUUUUUGAACCGCUGAACUUUUCAAAUGAUUUCCAAGUGCCGACCAGUGGCUAAAGAGACAAGGAAGUGGAGAGUGGAACAUCAACCACGAGAACAAAGGGUAACUUUCACGCAGGCAUUGGUCGUUGGCAUCAUAGAAUUUAGAGUAAUGAAAGCACGACGACGUUAAGCGAUUCUUAG